Molecule: ribosomal RNA, 423 nt
Filed under: Aptrootia elatior
Lineage: Eukaryota; Fungi; Ascomycota; Dothideomycetes; Trypetheliales; Trypetheliaceae
Description: mitochondrial SSU rRNA
Rfam family: Bacterial small subunit ribosomal RNA
Source: RNAcentral
GGCUGAACCAGCAACUUGGGGGAAUGCUUCUUAUUAGAUUAAAAAUUUAUAUUUUUAAUAUAGUUAAGAAUUCAUGAAAUUUGAAUAUAAUUCUAGAUAAAAAAUUGAUAAUGACAAAGUUUUAUUUAUUUGUCUUGACCAAAUCUUGUGCCAGCAGUCGCGGCAACACAAGGAAGACAAGUGUUAUUCAUCUUAAAUCGGUUUAAGGGGUACCUAGACGGUAAAUUAGGCCAUAGUAGGAACGUUUUUACUAGAGUUAUACAUGCAUGGGGAUUGUGUCAGUAUUACCAGAGUAGAGAUGAAAUUUUUUGAUACUGGUUAAGACUGGUAAAGGCGAAAGCAAACCUUUAUAUAUUAACUGACGUUGAGGGACGAAGGCUUGGGGAGCAAACAGGAUUAGAUACCCUAAUAGUCCAGGCAGAG